GAGACCACAACACACUCCACACACCGGGAAAGCGAGGCCACAACCCAUCGAGUUACAUCCAGUAACUAUUUACUGCUAGGUGAACAGGGGCCACACAUUAAGAGGCUUGCCCAUUUGGCUUGCCGCUCCUGAGACUCAAACACAGCCCUCUCGAUUGUGAGUUGAGCAUGCUAACCACUACACUACGUGUGUGUGUGUGUGUUCACUCCAGUUCUGUUUUUACUUUUUGGUUCAUAAAGGUUUUUGCUAAGUCUCCUUGUUCUUAUUUGUCACAUCUUAUAUAUAAUUUCCUUAUUUUUUUCAUGUUUCUUUCAGUAAAAAUGUAUUUCACCAAUUAUUUUCAGUUUGUUUUCUGUGUAAGGUUAUUGUAAAUCCUUGUGUUCUAUUCUGAUGCCUUGAUAUGCAGUACAGUGUAGCAGAGUGUUCUAGUCGUCUUCUUUAUACAUGUUGCUUACUCUGCACCCAAGCUGGUGCCUUGAUGUCUUCUAUAGAAUGGUAGACACUAAAACAGAUUGUUCUGGCUCUAUACCAGAUGAUGGAGAAUGGUCUGUUGUCAUAGCAGUGUUCUUUGAUAUCUUCUUUAUAUUUUUGUAAACCUUUUGUAAACUCCACUUCCUGCUUCCAUUGUUCAGUGUCCCAGUUUUUCAAUGCAUGACUUACAAUGGUCACAUUCAAAUUUCAGCUUUUUGGUGUUUUUCAAUACCUCAAAUCUGUCUGCCUCAGUGCCAAGGACUGCUAAAACAGGCCUGCAUCAUUUUAGUUUUUUCCAAAUCUUAUCACCUUUUGCAUUUGUAUGUGUGUAAUUUUAGACUGUUAGAAGUAAAUCUUUACAGAGGUUCAUGUCCUCCUCCUGUCUUUGUUCUGCUUCCCCUAUAUCAGAUUGAAGUCCAUUGUACAAAACCAUAUUGUUCCUUCUCUUAUUUCUAUCUCAUGUACUCAUACAUGUAGUUUUCCAUGUAUUCUCUCAUACCUGCUGGUGAGUUUGUUGUUCCAUCUACAUCAGCUGUUCUCACUGUUCCUCCUCCUCCUCUCAUUUCCCUACAUAUUUCCUCCUUCAGUUUUGUCACCUCAUUGAUGAUGUCUCACCUGAGUGCUUGUUGUACUUCUAACCAUGUCUUGUUAAAAAUCUUUCCUUUGAGCUCUGCGAAUUGCUUCCUCAUAUUGUCCCGUUCUUGUUUAAGCCUUCAAUUUUCCUUUAUGGCACUCUCUAUUUGAGGUCUGCAGACUUUGCAGUAUCAUGGCUCACCUGGUUUUUUUCUGAUAAGCCUCAUACAGAUCUUUCUUAAUCUUCUAACAGCCAAAGUACUACCAGAGGUCACAUAUAUUGCAGCAUAAUGUGUUAUCUACUUCUUUCACUACCUUUUUGCAGGUACCACACUGCUCCAUGUUACCAUUUGUCAUUUUUACAUGCAACUAUCAGACGGUUUUACACUGUUCAAUACACAAAUAGUGCGGGGAAACCUGUAUUAAUACUCAUACAUACAUAUAUCCAUGAGAUAGAAUAGUAUCUAAUGAACAUAUUCAUCAUUAAGCAUAACCUAAGAAUAUUCAGGAUAGAACAAGAAUGUAUGAAUGUAAGCAACUUUAUGCCAGUUAACAGAGUGCCUAAACAGUUCCUCUUUACUCCUAAGUAGAUCCUCUUUACUUCAGAGAAAGUCUAGGAGAUGUAGGAAGCACACACAUAUACACAUACACUGCACCUGUGUCUGUGCACCUGAUCUCUUUCCUACAAUGAUGAAAUGAUAAAAUAAGACUACAUUUUUAUGGCCUAAACAUCUUAAAGUUUAAAUCCUACUCAAUACUUUCCUAACACAGCAGUGAUGACAUGCUUUCCAGAGUACAAAACACAAUAGGAGUACAGUAUGGAACGAACCAUGCUCCUCUAAACCACUUGCAAAAGAUACUACAAGAACUUGUCCAUUCACAGAGCAAGCAAGUGCUCUCUGUAGACAUACCUGGUUGCCUCCCAGCCCAUGGCAGUAGCUGGUACCCAGAUUCUCCCCACUCUUGCGGCCCAGUGUGUCUAGGCAGCUCUGCGUCUCUACAUUGCGGAUCUGAAUGAGAAGUAAUGAGAAAUGAGUCACCUUCAUAUACUAAUCUAUUAACAUGGUACUGUCAUAAAGAGAGAGGAGCACUGUACCUCUCCCAGAUAGUAGUAGUCAAGAGGCAUCUGGGACUCAGGGUAGAUGUUCUCCAGGAACCAACGGAAACUCUUGCACUUGAGGUCCUUCCUGAGCUUCCUGCGCUCACCCACAUCACCGUAAUCCACACUCCGCGCCCCUAAGCCACCAACCAUUCAAUUUAUUCACUCAAGACACACUAAUUACCACUGCAUUUAUUUAACUCUAGUUUUAUGACAGGUCAACAAUCGUGCAUUCUUAUGUCAGAUAUUCAACACACAGUAACAUUUAAGUGAAGUUCAAACAAAUACAUUAACAGAAUUUCUCAAUUAUACCAUGAAGGCAUAAUUAACUUAAGUCUAUGGCUUACAUCUAUGAUAAGGGGAUCUGCAGUCCUUAUGGUCAAGUCUUUAUAUCAUAAUGGUGGAAAGUAUUAAUAUAUUCUUAAAUGGUUGGUGCUGCUAUGUACUCAAACAAGCUAUAAAAAAGGUCAUGUAAUGUAUGUAUCUCGUUCUUUCGAUUUGAAUAUUUGUCAAAACAGCUGCUUGGA
This 2670-nucleotide long non-coding RNA is filed under the name Portunus trituberculatus (swimming crab). RNAcentral describes it as "uncharacterized LOC123514492". Lineage: Eukaryota; Metazoa; Arthropoda; Malacostraca; Decapoda; Portunidae. The record is from RNAcentral.